CUAGGAAGAAGGAUGAUCGAGGUGUACCAUACAGUACGCUUAGGAAAGUCCAGACAGCAUAAAGCAGGGUGAUCGAUGUAAAUCGAUACGGGUAACCGCUAGUUAGAGCAACAGUGACGAACCGAGAUAAUGCUCGGGUGAAACGUGGCAAUCCUCCCCGCUGCAAUCCUAGAACCGACAAAGCUGCUUGCUUUAAUGUCGAAAUCAGGAGCAUUAGAUAAAUGAUCGUCUAAAAACAGAAUCUGGCUUACUCUCCUCCUAGGCAU
RNAcentral lists this RNase P RNA (266 nucleotides) under Candidatus Daviesbacteria bacterium RIFCSPHIGHO2_01_FULL_40_11. RNAcentral describes it as "RNase P RNA component class A". It matches the Rfam family "Bacterial RNase P class A". From Rfam's summary of the family: Ribonuclease P (RNase P) is a ubiquitous endoribonuclease, found in archaea, bacteria and eukarya as well as chloroplasts and mitochondria. Its best characterised activity is the generation of mature 5'-ends of tRNAs by cleaving the 5'-leader elements of precursor-tRNAs. Cellular RNase Ps are ribonucleoproteins. RNAcentral also lists the same sequence under 1 other name. Lineage: Bacteria; Candidatus Daviesiibacteriota. The record is from RNAcentral.